Molecule: non-coding RNA, 143 nt
Filed under: Celeribacter marinus
Lineage: Bacteria; Pseudomonadati; Pseudomonadota; Alphaproteobacteria; Rhodobacterales; Roseobacteraceae
Description: FMN sequence
Rfam family: FMN riboswitch aptamer (RFN element)
About the family: The RFN element is a highly conserved domain that is found frequently in the 5'-untranslated regions of prokaryotic mRNAs that encode for flavin mononucleotide (FMN) biosynthesis and transport proteins.
Source: Rfam by way of RNAcentral
UUUCAUUCUCAGGGCGGGGCGAAAUUCCCCACCGGCGGUUAUAGCCCGCGAGCGCCUUGGUUCUUGUCGCGAGAACCUUGGGUCAGCAGAUACUGGUGAAAUUCCAGAGCCGACGGUCAUAGUCCGGAUGAGAGAGGAUGAAC